This 81-nucleotide transfer RNA is filed under the name Persephonella marina EX-H1. RNAcentral's name for it is "tRNA-Asp". It matches the Rfam family "tRNA". Rfam says of the family: Transfer RNA (tRNA) molecules are approximately 80 nucleotides in length. Lineage: Bacteria; Pseudomonadati; Aquificota; Aquificia; Aquificales; Hydrogenothermaceae. The record is from RNAcentral.
CGGAGCCGUAGUUCAGCUUGGCCCAGAACGCCGGCCUGUCACGCCGGAGGUCGCGGGUUCGAAUCCCGUCGGCUCCGCCAU